Oryctolagus cuniculus (rabbit) is the source of this 1521-nucleotide non-coding RNA. The record is from RefSeq and is a predicted model, not a curated record. Lineage: Eukaryota; Metazoa; Chordata; Mammalia; Lagomorpha; Leporidae.
CUAAAGCCAAAGAACUAAGUGUUUUCUCUCCUCCAGAAAGGUUGAAGAUCUUCUUCCAACUUUUCUUAGGUGGUCGAACGCUGAACAUGAUUCCUUCAGAGAAAGGAUCCAAGCUGUCUACAAGCUCCAGUUCAGUGUCCCCUCCCAAGACAAAGAAUGGACUUGAAAUUCCUGCAGCAUCAUUGGUGCCAUGACUUGGAUUGCCUCAGAUCCAUUGGAAAGGUUCAUGCAAUGGGAGAACAAAUAGAAGACCAGGAUACAUUCUGGAGUCAGAGGAGAGAAUUGAGUGUCAGAGAAAUUGACUGGACUGCCUGAGGUGUUGGAUGAUGAAAAAAAGCUUGAAGAUGCUGAUGAUAUAGGAAAUAACCUCAUUGAAAUUACUCAUGGUCAGAUGAGUAUAAAAGAGAUCAGCAUGCAGAGCAUCAGGAUGUGGGAAAGUUCACUUGAAUCAUUUGACUUGGACCAUUUUCUGCCUUUGUUACUUUGCCCAUCAUUUAGCCAUCUAUCCCUUUACAUCCUAAGUGGGAAUAUUGAAGACACACUGAAUGAUCAUGCCUCAAGGUGAUAUAAAUGAAGUGGAGGAAGAUAAGCAGAGAACCUGAACUGCAGUGUAUGGAAACUGGAAGAAGUCCAGCUCUCUACUGUGUCCCAGGAGGGCAGUGGAGGAUGGCCCAAGUGCUUGGACCCUGCACCCACAUGGGAGAACAGGAGGAAGCACCUGGCUCCUGGCUUCGGAUCAGCAGCCAUUUGGGGGGUGAACCAACAGAAGGAAGACCUUUCUCUCUGUCUGUAACUCUACCUGUCAAAUAAAAAAAUAAAACUAUACAGAAAGAAAGGUGGUCAAGGAAGGCUUUUGAUACUUAUUUGUGCAUCUUGGAGACUGGAAGAGCAUCAUUAACUUCAUUGUAGAGAGCUGGCAAGGAACCAUCAGGAGCUGCUGGAGGAGAGGCAGCUGUCAGAAAGCAGAGGAUCUGAAACUGGUGAAGGAGAAAUGCUGAAACCAAGUGGAUUCAUAGACUGAACACCCAGUGCUCCAGGAGGAAAACUCAAGAACUGCAGGGACAUCAGGAGCAACAGUGGUCCAUUGUCAGAGACCAGAUCCUGUUGCAUUUAAUUUGCUUGUUAGAUCUGUUUCCUCCAGACUUAACAAAGUUACAAAGGGGAGGAAAAAGGCCUCUAUUGUUAAAGGGCCUUCAAACACAUAAAGCAAACACCUAAAACAAGAGACUAUUGCUUCAUCCACCUCCACUACCGUCAAGAUGGAUGAGAUAGCUCUCUGGAUCCACCACAGCAGAGAGAAGCUGGGGUCUGAAACUGAAAUGCAACUCAAAUAAAGCAACAGCCUACAAACUGCGCAUGUGAAACAAGCGAGUCAGCCAUGAAGAGAUCACCAGAGACGGUGACUACAGAGGAACUCCAGAGGACGACAGCUUUGCCUCCGAUACCCCGGAUGCUGACUGAUUUACACAUGGCCAAAGCUUGAGGAAUCUGCCACAUGAUACAAUAAAUGGGCUGAUCCUU